RNAcentral lists this ribosomal RNA (497 nucleotides) under uncultured bacterium. RNAcentral describes it as "partial 16S ribosomal RNA". It matches the Rfam family "Bacterial small subunit ribosomal RNA", at positions 28 to 507 of the family's 1533-position model. The record is from RNAcentral.
GACGAACGCUGGCGGCGUGCCUAAUACAUGCAAGUUGAGCGCUGAAGGUUGGUACUUGUACCCACUGGAUGAGCAGCGAACGGGUGAGUAAAGCGUGGGGAAUCUGCCUUUGAGCGGGGGACAACAUUUGGAAACGAAUGCUAAUACCGCAUAAAAACUUUAAACACAAGUUUUAAGUUUGAAAGAUGCAAUUGCAUCACUCAAAGAUGAUCCCGCGUUGUAUUAGCUAGUUGGUGAGGUAAAGGCUCACCAAGGCGAUGAUACAUAGCCGACCUGAGAGGGUGAUCGGCCACAUUGGGACUGAGACACGGCCCAAACUCCUACGGGAGGCAGCAGUAGGGAAUCUUCGGCAAUGGACGAAAGUCUGACCGAGCAACGCCGCGUGAGUGAAGAAGGUUUUCGGAUCGUAAAACUCUGUUGGUAGAGAAGAACGUUGGUGAGAGUGGAAAGCUCAUCAAGUGACGGUAACUACCCAGAAAGGGACGGCUAACUACGUG